GCGAGGGUAGCCAAGCCAGGUCAAUGGUGAGAUUCCUAAUCUGUUCCGUAGAGGUUCAGGGGUUCAAAUCCCUUCCCUCGCA
RNAcentral lists this transfer RNA (82 nucleotides) under Candidatus Methanomassiliicoccus intestinalis. RNAcentral describes it as "tRNA-Arg". It matches the Rfam family "tRNA". From Rfam's summary of the family: Transfer RNA (tRNA) molecules are approximately 80 nucleotides in length. Their secondary structure includes four short double-helical elements and three loops (D, anti-codon, and T loops). Further hydrogen bonds mediate the characteristic L-shaped molecular structure. tRNAs have two regions of fundamental functional importance: the anti-codon, which is responsible for specific mRNA codon recognition, and the 3' end, to which the tRNAs corresponding amino acid is attached (by aminoacyl-tRNA synthetases). tRNAs cope with the degeneracy of the genetic code in two manners: having more than one tRNA (with a specific anti-codon) for a particular amino acid; and 'wobble' base-pairing, i.e. permitting non-standard base-pairing at the 3rd anti-codon position. The record is from RNAcentral. Lineage: Archaea; Methanobacteriati; Thermoplasmatota; Thermoplasmata; Methanomassiliicoccales; Methanomassiliicoccaceae.